Molecule: ribosomal RNA, 229 nt
Filed under: uncultured bacterium
Lineage: Bacteria
Description: partial 16S ribosomal RNA
Rfam family: Bacterial small subunit ribosomal RNA
Source: RNAcentral
CGGGGUGAGUAAUGCUUGGGAAUCUGGCUUAUGGAGGGGGAUAACUACGGGAAGCUGUAGCUAAUACCGCGUAAUAUCGAAAGAUUAAAGUGUGGGACCUUCGGGCCACAUGCCAUAGGAUGAGCCCAAGUGGGAUUAGGUAGUUGGUGAGGUAAAGGCUCACCAAGCCGACGAUCUCUAGCUGGUCUGAGAGGAUGACCAGCCACACUGGGACUGAGACACGGCCCAG